CAGCAGCCGCGGUAAUACAGAGGGUGCGAGCGUUAAUCGGAUUUACUGGGCGUAAAGCGUGCGUAGGCGGCUAAUUGAGUCGGAUGUGAAAUCCCCGAGCUUAACUUGGGAAUUGCAUUCGAUACUGGUUAGCUAGAGUGUGGGAGAGGAUGGUAGAAUUCCAGGUGUAGCGGUGAAAUGCGUAGAGAUCUGGAGGAAUACCGAUGGCGAAGGCAGCCAUCUGGCCUAACACUGACGCUGAGGUACGAAAGCAUGGGGAGCAAACAGGAUUAGAUACCCGGGUAGUCCCUGUCUCUUUACA
Molecule: ribosomal RNA, 301 nt
Filed under: uncultured bacterium
Lineage: Bacteria
Description: partial 16S ribosomal RNA
Rfam family: Bacterial small subunit ribosomal RNA
Source: RNAcentral